CCCUUAGAUGUUCUGGGCCGCACGCGCGCUACACUGACGAAUGCAACGAGCUUAUAACCUUGGCCGAAAGGUCUGGGUAAUCUCCAAAUUUCGUCGUGAUGGGGAUAGAUUAUUGCAGUUAUUAAUCUUCAACGAGGAAUGCCUAGUAAGCGCAAGUCAUCAGCUUGCGUUGAUUACGUCCCUGCCCUUUGUACACACCGCCCGUCGCUCCUACCGAUUGAAUGGUCCGGUGAAGCGUUCGGACCGUGGCCUUUGGACGGUUCGCCGUCUGUUGGCUGCGGGAAGUUCGUUAAACCUUAUCAUUUAGAGGAAGGAGAAGUCGUAACA
This 327-nucleotide ribosomal RNA is filed under the name uncultured eukaryote. Its description in RNAcentral is "partial 18S ribosomal RNA". It matches the Rfam family "Eukaryotic small subunit ribosomal RNA", at positions 1470 to 1796 of the family's 1831-position model. The record is from RNAcentral.